This 387-nucleotide ribosomal RNA is filed under the name uncultured bacterium. RNAcentral's name for it is "bacterial SSU rRNA". It matches the Rfam family "Archaeal small subunit ribosomal RNA", at positions 339 to 727 of the family's 1478-position model. The record is from RNAcentral.
GCGCGAAAACUCUGCAAUGCCGGCAACGGCGACAGGGGAACACCAAGUGCUUGCACUUUGUGCAAGCUGUUUUCAUGCCUAAAAAGCAUGGAGAGUAAGGGCUGGGUAAGACGGGUGCCAGCCGCCGCGGUAAUACCCGCAGCCCGAGUGGUGCUCGUUAUUAUUGGGCCUAAAGCGUCCGUAACCGGCUUCGUAAAUGCCUGGGGAAAUCGUCGCGCUCAACGCGACGAAGGCCCGGGUAGACUGCGAGGCUCGAGACCGGGAGAGGCCAGAGGUACUCCAGGGGUAGAGGUGAAAUUCUGUAAUCCUUGGGGGACCACCGGUGGCGAAGGCGUCUGGCUAGAACGGAUCUGACGGCGAGGGACGAAGCCCUGGGGCGCAAACGGG